This 265-nucleotide ribosomal RNA is filed under the name uncultured bacterium. Its description in RNAcentral is "partial 16S ribosomal RNA". It matches the Rfam family "Bacterial small subunit ribosomal RNA", at positions 793 to 1465 of the family's 1533-position model. The record is from RNAcentral.
GUCCACGCCGUAACGAUGGAUACUAGCUGUUGGGAGCAAUCUCAGUGGCUAAGCGAAAGUGAUAAGUAUCCCACCUGGGGAGGUACGUUCGCAAGAAUGAAACUACAAAGGAAAGUUGUACGGGGCCCGGGGCCCCGACAACGAACGGUCGGGUAGGACGACUAGUUGGGUUUUAAGGUUUUUAACGUUACGUAGUAGUAACGUACCGGACGGGAAACCGGUUAAACCCCUUAAACCGGAACGGUUAAACUUUAAAGUUAGGUUU